UACAGAGGGUGCGAGCGUUAAUCGGAAUUACUGGGCGUAAAGCGUGCGCAGGCGGUGAUGUAAGACAGUUGUGAAAUCCCCGGGCUCAACCUGGGAACUGCAUCUGUGACUGCAUUGCUGGAGUGCGGCAGAGGGGGAUGGAAUUCCGCGUGUAGCAGUGAAAUGCGUAGAUAUGCGGAGGAACACCGAUGGCGAAGGCAAUCCCCUGGGCCUGCACUGACGCUCAUGCACGAAAGCGUGGGGAGCAAACAGG
RNAcentral lists this ribosomal RNA (253 nucleotides) under uncultured bacterium. Its description in RNAcentral is "partial 16S ribosomal RNA". It matches the Rfam family "Bacterial small subunit ribosomal RNA", at positions 524 to 776 of the family's 1533-position model. The record is from RNAcentral.